UACGAGGGGGGCAAGCGUUGUUCGGAAUUAUUGGGCGUAAAGGGCGCGUAGGCGGGCUCGCAAGUCAGGGGUGAAAUCCCACGGCUCAACCGUGGAAGUGCCUUUGAUACUGCGGGCCUUGAGGGAGGUAGGGGCGUGCGGAACUUCCGGUGGAGCGGUGAAAUGCGUAGAUAUCGGAAGGAACACCGGUGGCGAAAGCGGCGCGCUGGACCUCUUCUGACGCUGAGGCGCGAAAGCCAGGGGAGCAAACGGG
RNAcentral lists this ribosomal RNA (253 nucleotides) under uncultured bacterium. RNAcentral's name for it is "partial 16S ribosomal RNA". It matches the Rfam family "Bacterial small subunit ribosomal RNA", at positions 524 to 776 of the family's 1533-position model. The record is from RNAcentral.